ACGGAGGAUGCAAGCGUUAUCCGGAUUCAUUGGGUUUAAAGGGUUCGCAGGCGGCGUAUUAAGUCAGUGGUGAAAUCCCUCGGCUCAACCGAGGAACUGCCAUUGAUACUGGUAUGCUAGAGUAUAGUUGGCGUAGGCGGAAUGUAUCAUGUAGCGGUGAAAUGCUUAGAUAUGAUACAGAACACCGAUCGCGAAGGCAGCUUACGAAACUAUAACUGACGCUCAGGAACGAAAGCGUGGGGAGCGAACAGG
RNAcentral lists this ribosomal RNA (252 nucleotides) under uncultured bacterium. RNAcentral's name for it is "partial 16S ribosomal RNA". It matches the Rfam family "Bacterial small subunit ribosomal RNA", at positions 525 to 776 of the family's 1533-position model. The record is from RNAcentral.